Molecule: long non-coding RNA, 425 nt
Organism: Cloeon dipterum
Lineage: Eukaryota; Metazoa; Arthropoda; Insecta; Ephemeroptera; Baetidae
Exons: 3
Source: RefSeq, a predicted model, not a curated record
GUAAAAAGUGUUCACAUUCAAGAUAUCUGCGGACUCCGCUUGUUCAAAUGUGGAAAAGCCAUUCGCUGAUAAACAUGAUGGCUCCACUCUACCAACUCCGCACUUUCUUUGCGAUGCUUGCAAUUGUCUUCGUACUCUCAGCGUACUGCGUUGCAUCAGCACCGGCUGGGGCCGACGCUGCCAAAGUUGAUGAACGACAGUACAGCGACGACGAAAUCCGUGACAAACGUUGGUGGAACAUCGUGUGGAAUACAGCCAAAUUCUUUAUAGGCUGAUGAGGUGCAGAAGACGUUACUUAUUUACUUCAGUGUUUAUUUCAUAUUUUAAAAGAAGUUAUUGAUAAAUUUAUUAAAAUGUUUCAAGAGCAAAGACACAAUUCCUUAAGUGUGCAUGAAAAUAAAAUAAAAUAAUUGGAGCAAUUAUGA